RNAcentral lists this ribosomal RNA (1329 nucleotides) under Dirofilaria immitis (dog heartworm nematode). RNAcentral's name for it is "SSU rRNA". It matches the Rfam family "Eukaryotic small subunit ribosomal RNA", at positions 429 to 1779 of the family's 1831-position model. Lineage: Eukaryota; Metazoa; Nematoda; Chromadorea; Rhabditida; Onchocercidae. The record is from RNAcentral.
CAGGCGCGCAAAUUACCCAAUCUCAGAAUGAGGAGGUAGUGACGAAAAAUAACGAGACCGUUCUCUAUGAGGCCGGUUAUCGGAAUGGGUACAAUUUAAACCUGUUAACGAGGAUCUAUGAGAGGGCAAGUCUGGUGCCAGCAGCCGCGGUAAUUCCAGCUCUCAAAGUGUAUAUCGUCAUUGCUGCGGUUAAAAAGCUCGUAGUUGGAUCUGCAUCUUAGAACUUGGUCCAUCCAAAUGGAUGUGAACUAGGAUUCUAGACUAAAUAUUACAAGCUUUUCUAUAUGUUACCUUAAUUGGUUGCAUAUAGUAGCUAGUAAGUUUACCUUGAAAAAAUUAGAGUGCUCAAUGCGGGCUUAAUGCCUGAAUACUCGUGCAUGGAAUAAUAAAAUAGGAUCUUGGUUCUAUUUUGUUGGUUUUCUGAUCUGAGAUAAUGGUUAAGAGGGACGGACGGGGGCAUUCGUAUCGCUACGUGAGAGGUGAAAUUCUUGGACCGUAGCGAGACGUACAACUGCGAAAGCAUUUGCCAAGAAUGUCUUCAUUAAUCAAGAACGAAAGUCAGAGGUUCGAAGGCGAUCAGAUACCGCCCUAGUUCUGACCGUAAACGAUACCAACUAGCGUUCCGUCGGCGGUAAAUACGCCUUGACGGGCAGCUUCCCGGAAACGAAAGUUUUUCGGUUCCGGGGGAAGUAUGGUUGCAAAGCUGAAACUUAAAGAAAUUGACGGAAGGGCACCACCAGGAGUGGAGCCUGCGCUUAAUUUGACUCAACACGGGAAAACUCACCUGGCCCGGACACCGUGAGGAUUGACAGAUUGAGAGCUCUUUCAUGAUUCGGUGGUUGGUGGUGCAUGGCCGUUCUUAGUUGGUGGAGUGAUUUGUCUGGUUUAUUCCGAUAACGAGCGAGACUCUAGCCUACUAAAUAGUUACUGAAUAUAAAUAAUUUGUUCAGACAACUUCUUAGAGGGACAAGCGGUGUUUAGCCGCAUGAAGUUGAGCAAUAACAGGUCUGUGAUGCCCUUAGAUGUCCAGGGCUGCACGCGCGCUACACUGGAGGAAUCAGCGUGCUGUAACCAUUAUCGAAAGAUAUUGGUAACCCAUUGAAAAUCCUCCGUGAUCGGGAUCGGGAAUUGCAAUUAUUUCCCUUGAACGAGGAAUUCCUAGUAAGUGUGAGUCAUCAGCUCGUUGAUUACGUCCCUGCCCUUUGUACACACCGCCCGUCGCUGCCCGGGACACUGAGCCGUUUCGAGAAAAGCGGAGACUACUGUUUUGAUACCUUUCGAGGUGGAAAUUCUUUGGUGGAAACCGCUUUAAUCGCAGUGGCUUGAACC